This 357-nucleotide ribosomal RNA is filed under the name uncultured eukaryote. Its description in RNAcentral is "SSU rRNA". It matches the Rfam family "Eukaryotic small subunit ribosomal RNA", at positions 567 to 972 of the family's 1831-position model. The record is from RNAcentral.
CCAGCAGCUGCGGUAAUUCCAGCUCCAAUAGCGUAUAUUAAAGUUGUUGCAGUUAAAACGCUCGUAGUCUGAUUUGGAGUGUGUGGGGGUGUGGGUCGAUAGAUUUGCAUACUCGCACACUCGUUCUGACAGAUAUGUCGGGGUUACUUUGAGGAAAUUAGGGUGUUCCAAGCGGGCUGAUGCUUGCAUAGAUUAGCAUGGAAUAACAGAGUUGGACCUGGGCGCUGUUGGGCAGGAGGUGGCUAGGGAAUGGUUAAUAGGGACGGUUGGGGGCAUUAGUAUUUCAUAGUCAGAGGUGAAAUUCCGGGAUUUAUGAAAGACUGACUUCUGCGAAAGCAUUUGCCAAGGAUGUUUUCA